RNAcentral lists this ribosomal RNA (256 nucleotides) under uncultured bacterium. RNAcentral describes it as "partial 16S ribosomal RNA". It matches the Rfam family "Bacterial small subunit ribosomal RNA", at positions 524 to 776 of the family's 1533-position model. The record is from RNAcentral.
GACGUAGGGCGCGAGCGUUUGUCCGGAUUUAUUGGGCGUAAAGAGCUCGUAGGCGGCUUGUCGCGUCGGCUGUGAAAACCCGUGGCUCAACCAUGUGGUCUGCAGUCGAUACGGGCAGGCUAGAAUUCGGUUAGGGGAGACUGGAAUUCCCGGUGUAGUGGUGGAAUGCGUAGAUAUCGGGAGGAACACCAGUGGCGAAGGCGGCUUCCUGGACCUGUUCUGACACUGAGGAGCGAAAGCGUGGGGAGCGAUCCGG